CCGAUGGAGGGGGAUAACUACUGGAAACGGUAGCUAAUACCGCAUAACGUCGCAAGACCAAAGAGGGGGACCUUAGGGCCUCUUGCCAUCGGAUGUGCCCAGAUGGGAUUAGCUAGUAGGUGGGGUAACGGCUCACCUAGGCGACGAUCCCUAGCUGGUCUGAGAGGAUGACCAGCCACACUGGAACUGAGACACGGUCCAG
This 202-nucleotide ribosomal RNA is filed under the name uncultured bacterium. RNAcentral's name for it is "partial 16S ribosomal RNA". It matches the Rfam family "Bacterial small subunit ribosomal RNA", at positions 130 to 334 of the family's 1533-position model. The record is from RNAcentral.